AAGGUGGUUCGGUUCGGUUUAUUCAGUUUAAAUCGAAUACUGCUCAUUCCUACCUCUACCCAGAUAAAACCUCUAAAUUUACUAUCUUAGUGUAUUCUAGCUGCUAACCACAUGGCACAUACUCAUUUUCCCAUCCAAGAUUCCAGAACAUCCAUAACUUAAAUUGUCAACUGUUUACAAAAUAAUCAAUGAGAACCAUAAU
This 202-nucleotide unclassified non-coding RNA is filed under the name Hevea brasiliensis (rubber tree). The record is from RNAcentral. Lineage: Eukaryota; Viridiplantae; Streptophyta; Magnoliopsida; Malpighiales; Euphorbiaceae.